UACGUAGGGUGCGAGCGUUUGUCCGGAAUUAUUGGGCGUAAAGGGCUCGUAGGCGGUUUGUCGCGUCGGGAGUGAAAUCCACUGGCUUAACUGGUGGCUUGCUUUCGAUACGGGCAGACUGGAGGUAUGCAGGGGAGAACGGAAUUCCCGGUGUAGUGGUGAAAUGCGUAGAUAUCGUCAAGAACACCGAUAGCGAAGGCAGCCAACUAGGGGUUAACUGACGCUGAGGCACGAAAGUGCGGGGAUCAAACAGG
RNAcentral lists this ribosomal RNA (254 nucleotides) under uncultured bacterium. RNAcentral describes it as "partial 16S ribosomal RNA". It matches the Rfam family "Bacterial small subunit ribosomal RNA", at positions 524 to 776 of the family's 1533-position model. The record is from RNAcentral.